RNAcentral lists this ribosomal RNA (462 nucleotides) under uncultured bacterium. Its description in RNAcentral is "partial 16S ribosomal RNA". It matches the Rfam family "Bacterial small subunit ribosomal RNA", at positions 28 to 507 of the family's 1533-position model. The record is from RNAcentral.
GACGAACGCUGGCGGCGUGCCUAACACAUGCAAGUCGAGCGGAAAGGCCCUUCGGGGUCCUCGAGCGGCGAACGGGCGGGUAACACGUGAGUAACCUGCCCCAGACUUUGGGAUAACCCUCGGAAACGGGGGCUAAUACCGGAUACGACACAGCUUCGCAUGGGGUCUGUGUGGAAAGUUUUUCGGUUUGGGAUGGGCUCGUGGCCUAUCAGCUUGUUGGUGGGGUGAUGGCCUACCAAGGCGACGACGGGUAGCCGGCCUGUGAGGGCGACCGGCCACACUGGGACUGAGACACGGCCCAGACUCCUACGGGAGGCAGCAGUGGGGAAUAUUGCACAGUGGGCGGGAGCCUGAUGCAGCGGCGCCGCGUGAGGGAUGACGGCCUUCGGGUUGUGAACCUCUUUCAGCAGGGACGAAGCGUAAGUGACGGUACCUGCAGAAGAAGCGCCGGCCAACUACGUG